Molecule: long non-coding RNA, 273 nt
Organism: Pygocentrus nattereri (red-bellied piranha)
Lineage: Eukaryota; Metazoa; Chordata; Actinopteri; Characiformes; Serrasalmidae
Source: Ensembl
GGAAUAUUGGAGGUUUCUGACUGCAGCAGACCAAGCAGAGCAGUUUUCAGUCAUCUAUUAUGGCUGCUGAUGUUGUUCCACAUUUUCAGGUAAAUUUAAACUGUGCAGGAAAGUGGACAAUAGGUGCAGGAGAAGACUUGUAACAAGACAUCAUUCAUUUCUGGUGGAGAAAAAAAAAAUUAAAUGUGAAAUGCAUCAAAUGUAUCAUUGUAUACCCAAGAAAAUGUUCAGCUACUUUCAGAUUGAAUGAAAAAGUAAACAUUGUGAUUAAAC